RNAcentral lists this ribosomal RNA (519 nucleotides) under uncultured eukaryote. RNAcentral's name for it is "SSU rRNA". It matches the Rfam family "Eukaryotic small subunit ribosomal RNA", at positions 1161 to 1699 of the family's 1831-position model. The record is from RNAcentral.
AGGGCACCACCAGGAGUGGAGCCUGCGGCUUAAUUUGACUCAACACGGGAAAACUCACCCGGCCCGGACACUGAAAGGAUUGACAGAUUGAGAGCUCUUUCUUGAUUCAGUGGGUGGUGGUGCAUGGCCGUUCUUAGUUGGUGGAGCGAUUUGUCUGGUUAAUUCCGAUAACGAACGAGACUCUAGCCUACUAAAUAGAUCGCCGGUUUACAAACACCGGUGAGACUUCUUAGAGGGACAGGCGGCGAUUCAGCCGCACGAAACAGAGCAAUAACAGGUCUGUGAUGCCCUUAGAUGUCCGGGGCCGCACGCGCGCUACACUGAAGUGAUCAGCGUGCAUUUUAAGCCUACUCUGCCAAGAGUGGGAAACCCAAUGAACCUUCUUCGUGAUUGGGAUAGGGGAUUGUAAUUAUUCCCCUUGAACGAGGAAUUCCCAGUAAGCGCGAGUCAUAAGCUCGCGUUGAUUACGUCCCUGCCCUUUGUACACACCGCCCGUCGCUACUACCGAUUGAAUGUUUU